This 386-nucleotide ribosomal RNA is filed under the name Typocerus velutinus. RNAcentral's name for it is "partial 12S ribosomal RNA". Lineage: Eukaryota; Metazoa; Arthropoda; Insecta; Coleoptera; Cerambycidae. The record is from RNAcentral.
AAAUAGGAUUAGAUACCCUAUUAUUUUAAAUAUAAAUUUUAAAUACUAGAUUAUUAUAAGUUUAUGGUCUUUAAAUUAAAAGAUUUUGGCGGUAUAUUAGUCUAUUCAGAGGAAUCUGUCCUGUAAUUGAUAGUCCACGAGAUUAAUUACUUUUUUUAGAAAUUUACAUAUCGUUGUAGAUUGAGUAUUUUAAAAGAAAGAUAAUUCUCGAGAUUUUUAUGAAAAAUUAAAUCAGAUCAAGGUGUAGUUUAUAGGAAAGAAGAGAUGGAUUACAAUAAAUUUAUUUAAAGGAUUAAAUUUUUAAAAAUUUUAUGAAUAUGGAUUUGAAAGUAAUUUUUUAAAUUUAAAGAAAUGAUUUAAGCUCUAAGAUAUGCACACAUGGCCCG